Molecule: long non-coding RNA, 717 nt
Organism: Strigops habroptila (Kakapo)
Lineage: Eukaryota; Metazoa; Chordata; Aves; Psittaciformes; Psittacidae
Exons: 2
Source: RefSeq, a predicted model, not a curated record
AGGAGGGCCGAAACCCACCCCGCGGAGGAGGGAAAAGGAGGAAGGGAGGAAGAGGAGGGCGUAGGCUCCUGCCAAUCUGGACGGUGCUGGCGGCAGCUCUCUUGAGGAGGGUAGAGCUGCCAGACCCUUCGGUCUCCUGCGUCCUGUGUGACCCUCGCUUCUAGAAGCGUGGUUAUCCCUGCUGCUUCAGCUGCCCACAGAGCUGCUGCAAGAGACAGGAUGAAAAAAACACCCACGGUGACCUCACGCAUGUGCCUUGCUGGAAAGCAAGCAGAGGGAAAACUGAAGUUGGCUUGAAACAGGGUGGUUGGUAAUCAAAUGAAAUGCCCAUGACACUUGCUGCUUGGCAGGUGUGGGAAAGCCCUCCUGAUGUCUGCUCUAAGAGAGAGUAGGGACAGAGUGCGAAGAGUGCCAUCAGCAUGGCUGCGGCUACCAAGAGAUGUUGAAUGGAUCACAGCAGCCUAAGGAGGCCUAAGAACGGUGUGAGAAUUAGGAAUGACAUGUAGAUGCUCCUGCGUGUCAUCAGGGAUGGACAGUUUGCAGAAUGGUUUUGUCCUUAGACUACAUUCAUAUAAAGUGAUCCACAUGCCCCCAAAUGCUUCUGGUACCAGUGGGCACCUGCAGGAAGUAUCCCUCUAAAACUGUGACACUAGAACUUAGGGACUCUUACAAACAGGGCAAAUGAUGAAAAAUAGCGAUAAAUGAGAACUGAUACCA